This 253-nucleotide ribosomal RNA is filed under the name uncultured bacterium. RNAcentral's name for it is "partial 16S ribosomal RNA". It matches the Rfam family "Bacterial small subunit ribosomal RNA", at positions 524 to 776 of the family's 1533-position model. The record is from RNAcentral.
UACGGAGGGUGCAAGCGUUGUUCGGAAUUAUUGGGCGUAAAGGGCAGGUAGGUGGUCCCAAAAGUCUACUGUGAAAUCCCCGGGCUUAACCUGGGAACUGCAUUUGUGACUGCACAGCUGGAGUGCGGCAGAGGGGGAUGGGAUUCCGCGUGUAGCAGUGAAAUGCGUAGAUAUGCAGAGGAACACCGAUGGCGAAGGCAAUCCCCUGGGCCUGCACUGACGCUCAUGCACGAAAGCGUGGGGAGCAAACAGG